Molecule: ribosomal RNA, 468 nt
Filed under: uncultured bacterium
Lineage: Bacteria
Description: partial 16S ribosomal RNA
Rfam family: Bacterial small subunit ribosomal RNA
Source: RNAcentral
GACGAACGCUGGCGGCGUGCUUAACACAUGCAAGUCGAACGGAAAGGCCCUGCUUUUGUGGGGUGCUCGAGUGGCGAACGGGUGAGUAACACGUGAGUAACCUGCCCUUUACUUUGGGAUAACUUCAGGAAACUGGGGCUAAUACCGGAUAGGAGCCCCUGCUGCAUGGUGGGGGUUGGAAAGUUUCGGCGGUUGGGGAUGGACUCGCGGCUUAUCAGCUUGUUGGUGGGGUAGUGGCUUACCAAGGCUUUGACGGGUAGCCGGCCUGAGAGGGUGACCGGCCACAUUGGGACUGAGAUACGGCCCAGACUCCUACGGGAGGCAGCAGUGGGGAAUAUUGCACAAUGGGCGGAAGCCUGAUGCAGCAACGCCGCGUGCGGGAUGACGGCCUUCGGGUUGUAAACCGCUUUCGCCUGUGACGAAGCGUGAGUGACGGUAAUGGGUAAAGAAGCACCGGCUAACUACGUG